GAUGAACGCUGGCGGCGUGCCUAAUACAUGCAAGUCGAGCGAACGGACGAGAAGCUUGCUUCUCUGAUGUUAGCGGCGGACGGGUGAGUAACACGUGGAUAACCUACCUAUAAGACUGGGAUAACUUCGGGAAACCGGAGCUAAUACCGGAUGAUAUUUUGAACCGCAUGGUUCAAAAGUGAAAGACGGUCUUGCUGUCACUUAUAGAUGGAUCCGCGCUGCAUUAGCUAGUUGGUAAGGUAAUGGCUUACCAAGGCAACGAUGCAUAGCCGACCUGAGAGGGUGAUCGGCCACACUGGAACUGAGACACGGUCCAGACUCCUGCGGGAGGCAGCAGUAGGGAAUCUUCCGCAAUGGGCGAAAGCCUGACGGAGCAACGCCGCGUGAGUGAUGAAGGUCUUCGGAUCGUAAAACUCUGUUAUUAGGGAAGAACAUAUGUGUAAGUAACUGUGCACAUCUUGACGGUACCUAAUCAGAAAGCCACGGCUAACUACGUG
Molecule: ribosomal RNA, 497 nt
Filed under: uncultured bacterium
Lineage: Bacteria
Description: partial 16S ribosomal RNA
Rfam family: Bacterial small subunit ribosomal RNA
Source: RNAcentral